RNAcentral lists this ribosomal RNA (301 nucleotides) under uncultured bacterium. RNAcentral's name for it is "partial 16S ribosomal RNA". It matches the Rfam family "Bacterial small subunit ribosomal RNA", at positions 509 to 807 of the family's 1533-position model. The record is from RNAcentral.
CAGUAGCCGCGGUAAAACGGAGGAUCCGAGCGUUAUCCGGAAUUAUUGGGUUUAAAGGGUGCGUAGGCGGAUAGAUAAGUCAGUGGUGAAAGACGGUGGCUCAACCAUCGCAGUGCCGUUGAUACUGUUUAUCUUGAAUAUGGAUGAGGUAGGCGGAAUGUGGCAAGUAGCGGUGAAAUGCAUAGAUAUGCCACAGAACACCGAUUGCGAAGGCAGCUUACCAAGGCAAAAUUGACGCUGAGGCACGAAAGCGUGGGGAUCGAACAGGAUUAGAUACCCGUGUAGUCCCUGUCUCUUAUAC